UACGUAGGGACCGAGCGUUGUCCGGAAUCAUUGGGCGUAAAGAGCGUGUAGGCGGCCUUUUAAGUCCUGCGUGAAAUCCUGCGGCUCAACCGCAGACGGUCGUGGGAAACUGGAAGGCUAGAGUGCGGGAGAGGAGAGUGGAAUUCCCGGUGUAGCGGUGAAAUGCGCAGAUAUCGGGAAGAACACCAAUGGCGAAGGCAGCACUCUGGGACGUGACUGACGCUGAGACGCGAAAGCGUGGGGAGCAAACAGG
This 253-nucleotide ribosomal RNA is filed under the name uncultured bacterium. RNAcentral's name for it is "partial 16S ribosomal RNA". It matches the Rfam family "Bacterial small subunit ribosomal RNA", at positions 524 to 776 of the family's 1533-position model. The record is from RNAcentral.